UAGGGAAUCUUCGGCAAUGGACGAAAGUCUGACCGAGCAACGCCGCGUGAGUGAAGAAGGUUUUCGGAUCGUAAAACUCUGUUGUUAGAGAAGAACAAGGACGUUAGUAACUGAACGUCCCCUGACGGUAUCUAACCAGAAAGCCACGGCUAACUACGUGCCAGCAGCCGCGGUAAUACGUAGGUGGCAAGCGUUGUCCGGAUUUAUUGGGCGUAAAGCGAGCGCAGGCGGUUUCUUAAGUCUGAUGUGAAAGCCCCCGGCUCAACCGGGGAGGGUCAUUGGAAACUGGGAGACUUGAGUGCAGAAGAGGAGAGUGGAAUUCCAUGUGUAGCGGUGAAAUGCGUAGAUAUAUGGAGGAACACCAGGGGCGAAGGCGGCUCUCUGGUCUGUAACUGACGCUGAGGCUCGAAAGCGUGGGGAGAAAACAGG
This 429-nucleotide ribosomal RNA is filed under the name Chloroflexota bacterium. Its description in RNAcentral is "Chloroflexi bacterium partial 16S ribosomal RNA". It matches the Rfam family "Bacterial small subunit ribosomal RNA", at positions 355 to 776 of the family's 1533-position model. Lineage: Bacteria; Bacillati; Chloroflexota. The record is from RNAcentral.